Molecule: long non-coding RNA, 1823 nt
Organism: Gallus gallus (chicken)
Lineage: Eukaryota; Metazoa; Chordata; Aves; Galliformes; Phasianidae
Source: Ensembl
CCUCCCCGCCGCGCCUCGGCUCGGCGCCCCCCGCGCCUCCGAGCAGCCGGCAGCAGCUGAGGCAUCCUCCGUGCGGCACCUGAAUGCAAAUCGAAGCCACAAACAAUUAAGCCUCCUCUCGGCCGUUCCCAGGCCCAGCCCCGCGGCGCCGCGCUCAGCCCCUGGCCGUGUGAGCGUCUGCCCCAUCGCUAUGCACAGACGCGCACCGAUGUUUGUCACCGUCGGUUUCCACGGAGCCCGAGCUCAGCGUGGGGGCUCCGUCUGGUUCACCUCAGUGAUGCGUCCCGUGCUCCUGCCCCCCUCAGCGGGGAGCUGGGCGCUGCUUUCACUCUGCUGGGCGUCGGAUGAUCGAUAGCGCAAAGGAUGGUCCGGGCAGCACGCUGGGCAGGCUGGGUUCGCUGCUGCAGCGGUGUGCCGGCUCACAGGGGACGCGGCAGGGACCCCAGUGCUGCAUCCUGGUGUAAAGGACAGACUGCGUUUCUCCACCUCCCAACCCUGCUGCACAACAGCAGCACUUGUGCCAGCAUCUGCAUUUGCAGCUGUUUUGUGCGCCUUCAGGUAUCUGCCAGUUUUUUCCUCAAAACCCCCGUGUGGGAGAUGAGUGAUAAGGCCAAAAUCUGGUUGCCAUCAAAAAAGAGUUCCGCAGAGCUCUGCUAUGAUACACACAGUACAGAGCACACCAAGUGUUGUCAGUGGGCUGCGGGAACUGGGACAACCAAACACACAGACGGAGGGGGAACACACCAAAUAGUGACCCUGGGCUGAGGAGCCCUGAGCUGGGACAAACAUACCAACAAAUGAAGGACUGCACUGGGCGGUGGUAUUGGGCGUCCCCGCAGCCCACCCCGGUCAGCUCCUGUUUGGGAUGCUGUGCCCAAAUGGGGCACCGGGCGGCUGUCAUCUCCUGCCCUGCACUCCGAUCUGCCGCAGAGAGCUGAGAGAGGAACCCCACCCUUACAGAGAGGGAAAUCGCUGCUGCUGGCGGCACUUUUCUCCCGGCUGCUCGGUUAUUUUUGUUAACGCUUAUUAACGGGGCUUUGCGAGAGGGCUCUUCGUGGAGGGCUCACACUCACUUCAAUUAAAGGCGAAGGGAACCACCCGAGCGUAUCACUGAGUCAUCGAAGAAAUCCUGAUCAGUACGGAGGAGGCCAAACUCCUUUUGGUUAUUUUUACAGUAAACCGAGAGGGCAUAAAGCACCUUCAGGAACAGAAGUGAGCAGAACGUUCAGCACAUCCCUACUAAGUUGUAAGGGGAGGGGAUGGGGAGCAGCAGCGGGAUCCUCUCGAUGAGCGUGGCUGGGCCGUGAGCGGGGGACGGGGAGCAGCCCCACAGAGCUGGGAUGUCCCACUCAGAAGGCUGCAGGGAGCGGAGCGGGGCAGCACAGACGGCCCCAAGGGGAGCACGAGCUGCAGGAUAGUGUUGGUAAAGGGCGAGCCCAUGCCAAGCCUGACAAACUUCCCUUUGUGCAGAAUCAUAACUGGAAAUAUAAAAAGCCACAGUGUUUGAAAACACCUAUUUACAUUUUCUAUGCCCCAAAGCACAAUAAACAAAGGUUAGAUUUUAAACCCUCUGUCUUAAUUAACGCGGCACUGCUUUGGACAAACCCACACAGCAGGUGACUUGGCGCGCUGCGCUGUUUAACUUGUACCUUCCAGCUGCCUUAGUCACCGAGCGGGGACGGCGAUAACAUCAGCAGCCACCACUGCCGCCGGGGCGCGCGGUGAAUGUGCAGCGGGACUUUGCGGGGCGGUGGGAUCCCCCCGGCCCACUUAGCGCCCGCCUGCGGCAGCUCUUCCUGCCUCUCGGGGCAAAACCUUCCCCG